RNAcentral lists this ribosomal RNA (492 nucleotides) under uncultured bacterium. RNAcentral's name for it is "partial 16S ribosomal RNA". It matches the Rfam family "Bacterial small subunit ribosomal RNA", at positions 29 to 507 of the family's 1533-position model. The record is from RNAcentral.
AGUGAACGCUGGCGGUAUGCCUAACACAUGCAAGUCGAACGGCAGCACAGUAAGAUCUUGCUCUUACGGGUGGCGAGUGGCGGACGGGUGAGGAAUACAUCGGAAUCUACUUUUUCGUGGGGGAUAACGUAGGGAAACUUACGCUAAUACCGCAUACGACCUACGGGUGAAAGCAGUGGAUCUUCGGACCUUUCGCGAUUGAAUGAGCCGAUGUCGGAUUAGCUAGUUGGCGGGGUAAAGGCCCACCAAGGCGACGAUCCGUAGCUGGCCUGAGAGGAUGAUCAGCCACACUGGAACUGAGACACGGUCCAGACUCCUACGGGAGGCAGCAGUGGGGAAUAUUGGGCAAUGGGCGAAAGCCUGAUGCAGCAAUACCGCGUGAGUGAAGAAGGCCUUCGGGUCGUAAAGCCCUUUUGUUGGGAAAGAAAAGAAGCAGGAUAAUCCCCCGCUGUUCUGACGGUACCCAAAGAGAAAGCACCGGCUAACUACGUG